GACGAACGCUGGCGGCGUGCUUAACACAUGCGAGUCGAACGGAAAGGCCUUGCUUUUGUGGGGUGCUCGAGUGGCGAACGGGUGAGUAACACGUGAGUAACCUGCCCUUGACUUUGGGAUAACUUCAGGAAACUGGGGCUAAUACCGGAUAGGAGCUCCUGCUGCAUGGUGGGGGUUGGAAAGUUUCGGCGGUUGGGGAUGGACUCGCGGCUUAUCAGCUUGUUGGUGGGGUAGUGGCUUACCAAGGCUUUGACGGGUAGCCGGCCUGAGAGGGUGACCGGCCACAUUGGGACUGAGAUACGGCCCAGACUCCUACGGGAGGCAGCAGUGGGGAAUAUUGCACAAUGGGCGGAAGCCUGAUGCAGCAACGCCGCGUGCGGGAUGACGGCCUUCGGGUUGUAAACCGCUUUCGCCUGUGACGAAGCGUGAGUGACGGUAAUGGGUAAAGAAGCACCGGCUAACUACGUG
RNAcentral lists this ribosomal RNA (468 nucleotides) under uncultured bacterium. Its description in RNAcentral is "partial 16S ribosomal RNA". It matches the Rfam family "Bacterial small subunit ribosomal RNA", at positions 28 to 507 of the family's 1533-position model. The record is from RNAcentral.